This 412-nucleotide ribosomal RNA is filed under the name uncultured Desulfobulbus sp. Its description in RNAcentral is "bacterial SSU rRNA". It matches the Rfam family "Bacterial small subunit ribosomal RNA", at positions 977 to 1382 of the family's 1533-position model. The record is from RNAcentral. Lineage: Bacteria; Pseudomonadati; Thermodesulfobacteriota; Desulfobulbia; Desulfobulbales; Desulfobulbaceae.
GGUCUUGACCAUCCCGGAGACCCGUUAGGAAACUAGGGGGUGCUUCCAUCUGGAAGAAUCUGGAGACAGGUGCUGCAUGGCUGUCGUCAGCUCGUGUCGUGAGAUGUUGGGUUAAGUCCCGCAACGAGCGCAACCCUUGCCUUUAGUUGCCAGCAGUUCGGCUGGGCACUCUAAAGGGACUGCCGGUGUUAAACCGGAGGAAGUGGGGAUGACGUCAAGUCCUCAUGGCCUUUAUGACCAGGGCUACACACGUACUACAAUGGCCGAUACAAAGGGCAGCGACACUGCGAGGUGAAGCCAAUCCCGUAAAAUCGGUCUCAGUCCGGAUUGGAGUCUGCAACUCGACUCCAUGAAGUUGGAAUCGCUAGUAAUCGUGGAUCAGCAUGCCACGGUGAAUACGUUCCCGGGCCUU